GGCACUGUAGCUCAGUUGGUAGAGCACAUGCUUAACAUUGGUCUUUCCAACUUCCAAUCGCAUGUGGUCGUCGGUUCGAGCCCGGCCAGAGUCA
This 94-nucleotide transfer RNA is filed under the name Puccinia graminis f. sp. tritici. It matches the Rfam family "tRNA". Rfam says of the family: Transfer RNA (tRNA) molecules are approximately 80 nucleotides in length. Their secondary structure includes four short double-helical elements and three loops (D, anti-codon, and T loops). The record is from Rfam by way of RNAcentral. Lineage: Eukaryota; Fungi; Basidiomycota; Pucciniomycetes; Pucciniales; Pucciniaceae.